Molecule: long non-coding RNA, 1015 nt
Filed under: Homo sapiens (human)
Lineage: Eukaryota; Metazoa; Chordata; Mammalia; Primates; Hominidae
Description: non-protein coding lnc-MYO1F-2:1
Source: RNAcentral
CUCGGCAUUGUCCCCUCCCAAACUCCCACCCCUCCACAUAGCUUAAAAGUGUUGGGGGCUUCUCCAGUUUAGAUGGGGGAACAAAGAGAACCAACAGCUGGAAAAAACUAGAGAUGAGGCCGUUGGCCUAGUCAUCAUCCAGGCCGAUUUCUCAGAACCACCACUUUCUCUUCGGCUACUUUGCCCAUCCCAUAAAAGAACCCCAAAUCCUUCCUGUUCAUUCCUCAGCAGUUCCCACGUUUCCUUCCAGAAACUCAGAAGGCACCAGGAACUGAAUUGCAAAGUUCGUUAGAGCACAGACUCUGAAUUAAAGAGCUGGGUUAAACUCCAGGCUAUUCCCUUAGUAGCUGUGUGACCUUACCUGUCUGAAGCUUGGUUUUCUCCCAGUAAGAUGGGGUAGUACUGCCUAAAGAGGUAUAUGGCAUGUAUAAAGUGCUCCAUAAAUGGAGCUUAUUGGGAGAGUAUAAGUCACAGGCCAUGCCCCGCAAGGGGAUGCACGAAGACCCACCGCGAGCCAGGAAGGGAGCACCGGGCUCUCUGCUCUGGGACCGGCAGUGAGCCGGACAUCUGGGUCCUCCCAAGCCGGGCGGGCUGCCCCAGGGAGGAAGGGAGGGGGGCGAGCCUGAGCGGGCACCUCGGCCCGCAGGAGGUCUGCAGCGAGCUGUGGUGUCUGAGCAAGAGCAACCGGUGCAUCACCAACAGCAUCCCGGCCGCCGAGGGCACGCUGUGCCAGACGCACACCAUCGACAAGGGGUGGUGCUACAAACGGGUCUGUGUCCCCUUUGGGUCGCGCCCAGAGGGUGUGGACGGAGCCUGGGGGCCGUGGACUCCAUGGGGCGACUGCAGCCGGACCUGUGGCGGCGGCGUGUCCUCUUCUAGCCGUCACUGCGACAGCCCCAGGCCAACCAUCGGGGGCAAGUACUGUCUGGGUGAGAGAAGGCGGCACCGCUCCUGCAACACGGAUGACUGUCCCCCUGGCUCCCAGGACUUCAGAGAAGUGCAGUGUUCUGAAUUU